Dendronephthya gigantea is the source of this 386-nucleotide long non-coding RNA. RefSeq lists it as uncharacterized. The record is from RefSeq and is a predicted model, not a curated record. NCBI's taxonomy places the organism in Eukaryota, Metazoa, Cnidaria, Anthozoa, Malacalcyonacea, Nephtheidae. The transcript has 4 exons.
UGGUUUUUGCCGUCCCAGUCUCCAAAUGUUUUGACCGAGAGAGUUGCCAUCUUGAUUUUCAACAUCAAGUGGAAAGAUGCCGGUCACCGUUUCUCCUGCAAUUCGGUUUUCAAGAUAUGCUGCUCUGCUUGUUGGAAUAGGAUAUGGUUACAAACGAAAUGAAUAUUUAAAACCAUAUGGAGCAAAAGAUAGAAAAGUUCAAGAGAAAAAGGCAGAAGAACAAGCUGAGUUAAAACGUUUACGAGAAGAAGCAGACAAAGGGAAAAGCAUUUUUGAUUCCUGAGUGCACAAUGUGUUGGUAUAAAGUGUUUUGAAAUGACAUUUUACAAGAAUGUUCCUAUUAUAUGUUCUUGGAGCGAUAAUUAUAUUUGUCUUUUUAUUUUGAA